RNAcentral lists this ribosomal RNA (253 nucleotides) under uncultured bacterium. Its description in RNAcentral is "partial 16S ribosomal RNA". It matches the Rfam family "Bacterial small subunit ribosomal RNA", at positions 524 to 776 of the family's 1533-position model. The record is from RNAcentral.
GACAGAGGGUGCAAACGUUGCUCGGAAUUACUGGGCGUAAAGCGCGUGUAGGCGGGUCUGCAAGUCAGAUGUGAAAGCCCUGGGCUCAACCCAGGAACUGCAUUUGAAACUGCAGGCCUUGAGUGUCGGAGAGGAAAGCGGAAUUCCUGGUGUAGAGGUGAAAUUCGUAGAUAUCAGGAGGAACACCGGUGGCGAAGGCGGCUUUCUGGACGACAACUGACGCUGAGGUGCGAAAGCGUGGGGAGCAAACAGG